This 677-nucleotide ribosomal RNA is filed under the name uncultured archaeon. Its description in RNAcentral is "bacterial SSU rRNA". It matches the Rfam family "Archaeal small subunit ribosomal RNA", at positions 321 to 999 of the family's 1478-position model. The record is from RNAcentral.
UCCUACGGGGUGCAGCAGGCGAGAAAACUUUGCAAUGUGCGAAAGCACGACAAGGUUAAUCCGAGUGGUUUCUGCUAAAGGAACCUUUUGUCAGUCCUAGAAACACUGAUGAAUAAGGGGUGGGCAGGUUCUGGUGUCAGCCGCCGCGGUAAAACCAGCACCUCAAGUGGUCAGGAUGAUUAUUGGGCCUAAAGCAUCCGUAGCCGGCUCUGUAAGUUUUCGGUUAAAUCUGUACGCUCAACGUACAGGCUGCCGGGAAUACUGCAGAGCUAGGGAGUGGGAGAGGUAGACGGUACUCGGUAGGAAGGGGUAAAAUCCUUUGAUCUAUUGAUGACCACCUGUGGCGAAGGCGGUCUACCAGAACACGUCCGACGGUGAGGGAUGAAAGCUGGGGGAGCAAACCGGAUUAGAUACCCGGGUAGUCCCAGCUGUAAACUAUGCAAACUCAGUGAUGCAUUGGCUUGUGGCCAAUGCAGUGCUGCAGGGAAGCCGUUAAGUUUGCCGCCUGGGAAGUACGUACGCAAGUAUGAAACUUAAAGGAAUUGGCGGGGGAGCACCACAAGGGGUGAAGCCUGCGGUUCAAUUGGAGUCAACGCCAGAAAUCUUACCCGGAGAGACAGCAGAAUGAAGGUCAAGCUGAAGACUUUACCAGACAAGCUGAGAGGUAGUGCAUGGCC